Molecule: ribosomal RNA, 550 nt
Filed under: Chelisoches annulatus
Lineage: Eukaryota; Metazoa; Arthropoda; Insecta; Dermaptera; Chelisochidae
Description: partial 16S ribosomal RNA
Rfam family: Bacterial large subunit ribosomal RNA
Source: RNAcentral
UCGCCUGUUUAUCAAAAACAUUGCUUCUCGAAAGAAUGAGAGGUAAAAUCUGCCCGCUGAUCUGAUAAAAUUGAAGGGCCGCGGUACUUUGACCGUGCAAAGGUAGCAAAAUCAAUAGCCUUUUAAUUGGGGGCCGGAAUGAAGGAUUUAAUGGAAUCAUAACUGUUUCCGUUGUAAACGAUGAAUUUCACUUUUUUGUAAGAAGGCAAAAAUGUAAAAGAAAGACGAGAAGACCCUAUAGAUCUUUAUGAACAAUUUUUUGAAGAAGCAAGAAGAAUUUUUUUUUGAGGUUCAGUUUAGUUGGGGUAACUUGAGGUCAGGAUAAAUACUUUGAGUUAAGCAUACCCAUAAGUAGGCAUGAGACCCGUUUAGGAUGAUAAAAAGAAAAAGAUACCUUAGGGAUAACAGCGUGAUCCUCUUGGAGAGCCCUUAUCGAUAAGGGGGUUUGCGACCUCGAUGUUGAAUUAAGAGUAACCUCAGGUGCAGAAGCUUGGGAGGUUGGGUCUGUUCGACCUUUAAAAUCUUACAUGAUCUGAGUUCAAACCGGAGA